Molecule: ribosomal RNA, 371 nt
Filed under: uncultured bacterium
Lineage: Bacteria
Description: bacterial SSU rRNA
Rfam family: Bacterial small subunit ribosomal RNA
Source: RNAcentral
GGGGGGAGCGAGCGUUAUUCGGAUUCACUGGGCGUAAAGGGUUCGUAGGCGGUCAAGUAAGUCAGGGGUGAAAUCUAACGGCUUAACCGUUAAACUGCCCUUGAAACCGCUUGACUUGAGGACAUGAGAGGAAAGCGGAAUUCUUGGUGUAGCGGUGAAAUGCGUGGAUAUCAAGAGGAACACCAGUGGCGAAGGCGGCUUUCUGGCAUGUUACUGACGCUGAGGAACGAAAGUCAGGGGAGCGAACGGGAUUAGAUACCCCGGUAGUCCUGACUGUAAACGAUGGGCACUAGGUGUGGGAGGUAUCGACCCCUUCCGUGCCGCAGCUAACGCAUUAAGUGCCCCGCCUGGGGAGUACGGCCGCAAGGUUG